This 221-nucleotide long non-coding RNA is filed under the name Elaeis guineensis (African oil palm). RNAcentral's name for it is "long non-coding RNA (EGUI_LNC051774)". Lineage: Eukaryota; Viridiplantae; Streptophyta; Magnoliopsida; Arecales; Arecaceae. The record is from RNAcentral.
GAAAUAUAACACAAAUUAUUGAAUGAUCUAUUGAUUGUGUAAGAAGAUUUGGACAACCAUGAUGUGGAUUGCUAAUUGCUAAUCAUGGGCCGAAUCAUGACAUCUUAGAUUGCUAGUCAUGGGCUGAAUCAUAGCAUCCUAGUUUGCUAUUGCGAACCAAAGUAUAUAUAUUCUAGUUUGCUACUACAGGCCAAAAUAUGAAUAUUCUGAUUUGCCACCAU